AGGUAAGGAUCUGGAGCUUAGAGAUAUAAAGCAAUGUACCUAAGUGCUGGAGUUGUACCUCCAGCAUUUAGCACCAUGUUUUAGGUACAGGACAAGGCAAGAAGAAAGCACGCUUCUCACCUAAACUGGCCACCAAAAUGCCCUGUACUGCUCCUGCUGCACUAGAAGACCUGAACAAAGCUGGAGCCCAGAUGUGAAUGUCAUUUUCCAGACCAUCACACUGAGCAAUAUUCCAGGAAUACGAAGAACUAACCUGGGACAAAUGUGAUAAUCAAUUGAGUGCUGCACUGAAGCAGAAAUGAGCAGACUGCCAAAAUCUGAAUUUUAAGUUGGGAUCCAGCAAACAGAAAAGGUCCACUAAGGUUGUCUAGACUCCAGACCCUGCUCUAAAAGGCCCAUAAUUUGAGUGGAGCCAAAGAAGUGAGCUUCACGGAUCAGGACUCAUGGAAGCAUCCAACCCACAUGCACAUGAGCAUGAGCAGAGGAGAUAUGCACAAUAUGCGUGUCUGUAGUUCUUUGCUACCCAAGUGACACAUAACGUUGAUAAUGACCAAUGAGCACAGAAUUCCAGUGGAUUCAUGAUGCAUGAGAGUUCAACGAGACAAAGUGAGUGCAAGAACAUAACUGUUGCUUGAGCGAGUAACAAACCAUGAUUAUUUGGACCUGGAUACUGCCACAGACAUUUUCUCCAAAACGAAGUGAGUCUGCCACUUCAAGGAAACUGACAGUAUUUGUUGGCAAUAAUAAAAAUUUAAACUUUCAAGUGAAAAAUUAGAAUUUUGGAAAACUUGGAUAUACCCCUGUGAGCCUGACAGCUUCCCAAUAAUAAAUGACUUUUCUCAUGA
Canis lupus familiaris (dog) is the source of this 845-nucleotide long non-coding RNA. RefSeq lists it as uncharacterized. The record is from RefSeq and is a predicted model, not a curated record. Lineage: Eukaryota; Metazoa; Chordata; Mammalia; Carnivora; Canidae. The transcript has 5 exons.